This 452-nucleotide ribosomal RNA is filed under the name uncultured bacterium. Its description in RNAcentral is "bacterial SSU rRNA". It matches the Rfam family "Bacterial small subunit ribosomal RNA", at positions 340 to 786 of the family's 1533-position model. The record is from RNAcentral.
UACGGAAGGCAGCAGUAGGGAAUCUUCCGCAAUGGACGAAAGUCUGACGGAGCAACGCCGCGUGAACGAUGAAGGCUUUCGGGUCGUAAAGUUCUGUUGUUAGGGAAGAACAAGUACCAGAGUAACUGCUGGUACCUUGACGGUACCUAACCAGAAAGCCACGGCUAACUACGUGCCAGCAGCCGCGGUAAUACGGAGGGUGCGAGCGUUAAUCGGAAUUACUGGGCGUAAAGGGCACGCAGGCGGUUAAUUAAGUUGGAUGUGAAAUCCCCGGGCUUAACCUGGGAAUGGCAUUCAAGACUGGUUAGCUAGAGUCUUGUAGAGGGGGUAGAAUUCCAUGUGUAGCGGUGAAAUGCGUAGAGAUGUGGAGGAAUACCGGUGGCGAAGGCGGCCCCUGGACAAGACUGACGCUCAUGUGCGAAAGCGUGGGGAGCAAACAGGGAUUAGAUACC